UGGCAUGAAGGAGAGUACGAGUUGUACAUUUCAUCACCUGGUUGGUGGCAUGAAGAUGAGUUCUUUCUUCACCUGGUUGGUGGCAUGAGUGGCAAGUUGCCAAAUGAUAUUAGAGUACUGGUUGUACAUUUCAUCACUUGGUUGGUGGCACGAAGAUGAGUUCCUUCUUCACCUGGUUGGUGGCAUGAGUGGCAAGUUG
RNAcentral lists this long non-coding RNA (199 nucleotides) under Malus domestica (apple). Its description in RNAcentral is "long non-coding RNA (MDOM_LNC016165)". The record is from RNAcentral. Lineage: Eukaryota; Viridiplantae; Streptophyta; Magnoliopsida; Rosales; Rosaceae.